AUUGAACGCUGGCGGCAUGCUUUACACAUGCAAGUCGAACGGCAGCGCGGGCUUCGGCCUGGCGGCGAGUGGCGAACGGGUGAGUAAUGCAUCGGAACGUGCCCAGUAGUGGGGGAUAGCCCGGCGAAAGCCGGAUUAAUACCGCAUACGACCUGAGGGUGAAAGCGGGGGACCGAAAGGCCUCGCGCUAUUGGAGCGGCCGAUGUCGGAUUAGCUAGUUGGUGGGGUAAUGGCUUACCAAGGCGACGAUCCGUAGCUGGUCUGAGAGGACGGCCAGCCAGGGUGGGAGUGAGGGCCGGACCCCACACGGGAGGCAGGAGGGGGUAGUUUAGAAUAAAGGGGGGACGCAAGCCCCAGCCAGCGCGGCGGCGGGAGGGAUGCCUGCGGUUUGGAAGUCAAUUUUUUUCGGGAGGAAACCAUGCGGUGUUUUUCCCGGGGGGUUGAGGGUACCCGGAAAAAAAGCGCCGGCUAACUACGUG
This 479-nucleotide ribosomal RNA is filed under the name uncultured bacterium. Its description in RNAcentral is "partial 16S ribosomal RNA". It matches the Rfam family "Bacterial small subunit ribosomal RNA", at positions 28 to 507 of the family's 1533-position model. The record is from RNAcentral.